This 21-nucleotide unclassified non-coding RNA is filed under the name Chlamydomonas reinhardtii. Its description in RNAcentral is "small RNA Cre_0317". Lineage: Eukaryota; Viridiplantae; Chlorophyta; Chlorophyceae; Chlamydomonadales; Chlamydomonadaceae. The record is from RNAcentral.
ACGCGCCGGCUGCUGCCCGUG